GUUCACUGCCGUACAGGUAGCUUAGAAA
This is a non-coding RNA of Methylomicrobium album BG8, 28 nucleotides long. NCBI's taxonomy places the organism in Bacteria, Pseudomonadati, Pseudomonadota, Gammaproteobacteria, Methylococcales, Methylococcaceae. The record is from Rfam.